RNAcentral lists this long non-coding RNA (6563 nucleotides) under Sus scrofa (pig). RNAcentral describes it as "lncRNA (ENSSSCG00015041988.1)". The record is from RNAcentral. Lineage: Eukaryota; Metazoa; Chordata; Mammalia; Artiodactyla; Suidae.
GGUGGGUGAUAAACCCACUCUGGCGCCGGCCGUGCGCUGGGUGAUUAAUUUGCGAACAAACAAAAGCGGCCUGGUGGCCACCGCAUUCGGGUUAAACAUUGGCUAGCGAGUUCCGAAGACUUGUGCCAGGCCUGGCGGCCGGGAGAACUCACAGGCUAGUGCGCACCCGGCCCCGGGCGUUUAGGCUCCCGCCUCGGGCUCUACACGAUCUUCUUUUUUUUCCUUCCAUGCAGACCCCUUCGGUCGUCUCUCUCCCCGCCUCAUGUUCAACAAAAGACAGACCGGAACACUGAAGGAGCCUGCUCCUCGGCCAAGCCCGAGAUGCCAUGCUUUAAAAGAAUGGGGGAAAGGGGCCAAAAUUUGAAUCCAAGAUGCGGUCCGAAACUCCUGGUGUACCCCCAAUAUUUCUCCAUCUUUUGCCAAGAGUAUUCACUUAAUUGUAGGCCCGAUUUUUUAAAAGGUUAAAAAAAACCCUCCCCAAAUCUGCAACGCUUAAGGCGAAGGNAAGAAGUCUUGUAAAUGCGGAUGUUAAAGUGGGGAAGGGGCAGGGGGAGCCUCAGAAUAAGUGUACGUACACGGGAAGCCGAAUCACCUAGCCUCAGCGCAGGCCACAGACGCCGCCGCAGAGAAGCUAGCUUUACCAAAGAAUCAGCUCUCGGAAAGCCUCUGCUGAUCCCACUUUUCCCUGUGGCGCCGCCUGCCUCGAACUAUAAAGGGGGCAAAUCGACCCCUUUGUGACCGAAAAGUGUUUAUCUGAAGUUUACAAAAAAGGGGGGGAAUGUGCGGAGGCGGGGGAAGGAUGGUGGGUAGGAGGGGUCGUUUACUUUGGCAAGUUUGCUGUAAAUAUUCUUUUUUUGGCAUGCGUGAGGUCUGGCGAGGGACUAUUACACGCUUAUUCCCUCUUAAACUUUCACCCGCCGUUUGCCGCGGAGGUUUUUUUUUUUUUCUUCAGGCGGAGGUGUCGCUAAAUUUGGAACUCUGUUGACAUAAGAACAUCCCGGGGUUUCUCCAGGGGUCUGAGGCCUGAGUUUCCAAUCGGGGUCGGUUCAGACAUAAACUUUUUUUUUUUGAGGGGGGUUCUGGAUAGAGGUGGCUCUCUGUUUUUGCCCGGUGUCCCCUUCCUGAGAUCCCAGGCUCUUUGGAUAUUGACAAGCUUUGAAAUUGACUAGGUUCCUGCUCCAGGACCCCCAGCCUCCUUCCGGCUCAAUACCCCUAACUGGAGGUGACUUUCAGGUCCCGGACCUCAUGGAGGCCACUCCCUCAGGGGGAUGCCCAGGUUACAGGAUUCCUCCUGCAAAUAGGCUAGCACCCUCCUCCCCACAUUAACUCCCCUGCACUACUCCAAACCCUAGGUCUCUCCAAAGCAGUUCUGAAGUCAAUGGAGGACUCCAGACCUGGGAGGCUUGAUUUUCCUUCUGGAGUUUCGAAUCUCCCCCCUCAUCCCCACCCCAACUUGGUUUAAGAGCCUAAUUGCUCUCAGGUCUGGAGGCUUCCAGAUCAGUUUCUUUGACUAAGAGUCAGUUUGCCCAUCUUUCUUCCCUCCCAGGGCAUAGGCACAAAACUCUUGGUUGGACCAGAGAGGGCAUUCACUUCUGUUUUCUUUUCUUUUUUCUUUUCCUUCCUUCCCCACUUCCUUCCUUCCUUUUUUUUUCCUCUCUUCUCUGUCCAUGUUUUUCAAUAUUCUGUGAUUGCCAAUCUCUGCCCUUUCUUCUCCUGUUUCCUUCUAUUUUCUCUUCCCUCCCUGGCAUCAUUCUUAUUCUUGGCUUCUAUGCCUCUUUGCCAGUCUCACGCGCCAACCUUUCCUCCUCUUAUUCUCUCUGGUUUUGAUUUACUCUCUUUCUUUUUCUUUCUUCUCCCUGUUUAUUUUCUCUGGCCUUCUUGGUCCUUCCUGAAUUCUUUCCUGCCUUUCUGUAUUUCUGGUUUGCCUCUGUAUACCCCCACCACCACCACCACCAUGUUUUCCAGGGACCAUGACAGGCUGGAGAUACUACUUCGUCCUUGGUUGGUUUCAAGCAAACACCUUCCCCUCCCGCCCUUGGCCAGCAAGAUAAGGUGUCCUGAGAGAUAGAAAAGUGUCAGGCCCAUUUGUGUAGGUCUCUUGCUGCCUUUGGUAGCCUCAAAAUCAUCCCUUUUCCCAGAGCUGGCUCUCACCCCUGUUCCAAGAUUCUGAUCCCCAUUCUCUUUCUCUCUCUCUCCCCUCCUUUCCAAGGUAGGAGCACAGGAUGAAGCAUAGCAUGUCGGGCCCUAAAGCCCCAGCUCCUUGCCUCUGUCUCACUCCAGCAGCACAGGAUUUUCCUGUAAGGCACAUUUCCCUGUCCUCUGACAGCCCUCUAAAUUAUUGAUCAGGCCGAUUCAGUGCAAGAGUCUGAAACAUGUGUGAGAGAGAGAAGAUUGUCAAAGUUGUCUAGCUUGGGGAAGCAGUAUUUUUAGUACAGAGGCUCACUUUGGCGCCAGCUGGUUUAUGCUGUUUCCAGAGCAUCAUUCGUUAUACACUUAAUCCAUGCUUAUCAUACCUCCUUUUAAUGUAAAUAUGUGUUUGGCAGAGGCGAAAUGAAAAGAUUUCACUCUCUGCAUUAUUUUUAUUAGCACCCACCUUUCAUCAAAGCUGAUCGCUCUGCAAAAUGGCAAAUUUGUAAACAGCGAGUGAUUUAGAGAAGUUGGAAGGGAAACUAGGAGGGAAAGGAUGAAGGAAGUGUGUGUGCCUGGGGAGAGUGCCUCUCACACAUCUGCGAAGGUUCUCUCUCUCUCCCCCCCUCUCUCUCUGUCAGGAAAAGGAACUAAUUGUGGUUUCCUAAUUUCAAACCAAUCUGCAUCUUCAAUGCUCUCUUUGUGUUUUACCCAAUUACUUAAAAAAAAAUCAGGAUAAUGCAAUGGACAUUUCUUAGUCCAGCAGAAAUGAAUUCACUUAGGAAGAGGCCAGGGAUUUUCUUUUUCCCUCUCAUUUUAUCUGACCCAGAUCUGCAAGAGGCAGGGGCAGAACUCACUUCAGCUUCGGGCACCGGUGACCACUACAAAUCUUUCUUCCUUCACCUUCCUCUUUCCAGAGACAGGUAAGGGUGUAAAUAGCCUUUCAGCGAUUGGGCCCAGAAAUGUGGCUUAGGGGGUGGUGGUGAGGAUCUUAGGGACAGAAUGCUUAAAAAGGGUGAAGGGAAAUAUAAUGAUAUAUUCUCCAAUCCCCAACUGCAGCUCAGGGGUGUCAACUGAACAGGAGCCCUUAAUUCUGUGACUUCCUGCUUUUGCUCCUGUCCCUUAUUUCUAAGGGCAUGGGGGAAGUGGGCAUGGGGGCAUGGGGGAAGUGGGGUCUCGCCUUGUGAGAGCAGCCAGGGUAGAGGGGCCAGGGAGACCUUGUAAGUGAGAGGGCAUGGCAAAUCAAAUGACCGUUCCUGUCAGGGAGGUUGACAGGGCAAAGAAAGAUCAGCUCCUCCAAAUCUGCUGAACUAACUGUCCCCUGGUAGCCAGAGACACGUUUUCUCAAUUUGAGCACAAUAUCCAUUACUAUUUCCCAUACUGGGUUUCAAUUAAAGAGGGUGAGAGAAAAGAGGGAAGGCAGGAGAUAAAUGAAAGGGACAGUGAAAGCCCAAAGUUGGGGGGUUGGGUGUGUUUGUCCUCUUUUCUUUCCAUGUCUUUCUUAUAACCUCACCACUGCUCCUGGCCAGCCAGCCAAUCUGCCUGUCUUCCCAACAAUAAUGUUUUAAUGUCUCCCAAAUGCAGUAGGGUGAGGAGAUGAGGAAGGAGGUCACACUCACAGAGCUUCUUUCAUACUAGUGAAGCCCCCAAGAGAUGUAGCGGUCCCUGGGGUGGGGAUGGGGGACGAUGACUUUGGGGAGGAGUUUGCUCUGCCUGUGUGGUCAUGGGGCUGCAGGGAUCUGAGGGGCAUGGAUGUUUAAGGUUCCAGGCUUUAUACUGUCUUACUGGAAACUGAUAAAAUCCCUUCUCCCUUGCCUAAUCCUAUGAACAGUAAACUUUUCUGUGGUUCUAAGACACAGGGUGGGAGAAGUGUGGGGUUUCACCUGCUCCCCUGGCAUGCCUGCCUGUCGGUUGAGAGAUUUGCAAACAUGCUUCUAAGGCCAGGAUUUGGGUUGUGGAUGCAGGAUCGAAGUUCCAGGCCUACCUAGCCUUUCUGUCACUGAACGGUUGACAACUCUCCGGCCAAACACACUUCUCCCAACUUGGAAUCAAGCACCAGCUCCUUUACCUCCUCUGCAUUCUGUGAUCACUGACCCUGUACCAGGGCCAUUCAGACAACUGGGCAGGGGUCGCUGCCCCUCUGUGUCUUAAUUACCUGGCCAUCUGAGGGAGCCUCUUCCUCCGUGUCAGUAAAAGAAAUUAGAGGCCUCAGCGAUGUGACUUCAUUCUAAGUCGGAGAUGUCUUGCUUCCAACCCAAUCGUCCUUGCCUCCAAAUAACACCUAAAUCCUGCCUAGUAGAACCAUCCUAGGGGUGAUCCGACUGAACCGGAGGGACAGUUCUCCGGCUCUCCACCAGAGCUGAAUGCUUGGAUGAAUGUUGUGACCUUAGAGAGCCCAGAAGCCUUUAAAAAGUCUCCAGCUUGCCCUUGGAAUACAGGAGGGCUUUCCUUUCUUUUAAAAUUUGCAUUAAUGUUUCGGAGAGAGAAGAGAGAGAGGCAGAGACACACAUGCAUAGAAAGAGGGAAUGUUUGGAAUUGUGAGAGAGCUUUUCCUAAGAGUUGCUUUUGCUGGCGCCCAGGCCCCAGUUCAUUUCAUCUCCAAGCCAAAUAUGAAAAAUCCUUCUGGACAGCGGGGCAGGAGGGCAGAGAGGAACCGGCUUCCUGGUCUAGGAAUCAACCUGCCCCCUGCCUUUCCUGGCAAUGCCCUUGUCUCCUUUCGAUUGAGAAAGGAACACUUCGGGCCCCAGGAAUUGGUGAGAGAUGGUGAGAGCCUAGGGCUUCCUGUAAGGUCCUUUUGGCAACAGUCCCCCCCAACCCUCCAACCCCGGGGGGUGGGUCCCCUACCGCCGCCCCUCCCCCCUUACCCUGGUUCCAAAUACGGAAGCUGGACGUGCCUCCCUGCGGCUCCAGGCCUCGCCCAGCACAGUUCGGGAGAAGACAAGCCGCUCGCGGCCUCGGAUUACACCGGCACCCGGGGGUGGAGGGGCUCGGGGCUCGGAUCGCGGGAGCCCCCAUCGCCCAUACCGGCCCGCGGGGAAGCAAAGGGGUUUCCCGACCGGCUGGCCUGUCCUGACCCUCGGUCGCCACAGGGUCCCUCCCAGGCCUGGAAACCCGCGACCGCGGGCACUGGCUCUGCGCCGGUUACCUGCCUUCCCGUUGCCGCUGCAGGGGCGAGGCGAGGCCGGCUUCCCUGGUGGGAGAGCGGCCGGCCCGGUCUGCGGAACUCGCGUCUUUUCUCUAUGAGAACUAAACCUAAGAUCGCAGGGAUUCAGUUAGGAGCCCCUCACCUCCCCCGAAGGCCCGAGGUGUCUUUUCUGCAGCCUUGAUUCCUAACUCACACCCCGGUUGCAAAGAACCUAUGGGGAGAGGGUCUAUAGUAAAGACUUUAAGGAUGCGGGGGCGGGUACCAAAAAUAAGAGCGCGGUAGCACUCUGUGUCUCUCAAAGUGAUGGGGAAACAAUUGCAAAGAGAUAGCUUCCUGGGAGAAAAACAAGGCACAGAGGGAAGCAGGCUGAUCCCGGAGAGAUUUCCUUCGUGCAGAGGUAGGGUGGGCUGGAGGGAGCCAUCUCCUUUUCCACCGCUGGGGUGUGUUUUUACAUGUUUUCUUAGCAGCAAGUUCUAUAAACAGGUCAGCCCUCCGCUGCCAGCCUAGGGAGUCUGAGGCUGUCUCUGGCUUCCAGUGUAGACGCCUCUCAUUCUUCCUCGCCCUGGUACAAGUCAAACGCGAAGGGUAGGAGGGGGCGAGCCACUUCCCACUUCUGACUGUUUUGAAAUAGCUUCUCUUGUCUUCAGACGGUAAAAUAUGAGUUCCCCAUAUGUCUGAGUCUGGUCUUCUGGUACCUCAAGCAAGGUUAGGGUAGUGGGGGGUGGGGGCUGCUCUAAUUAUCUUGGAGCUGAACGGGGGGUGGGGCGGGGGAUUCUGUCUUUUCAGUCCACCCUGCCGGGGUGCCCCGGCGGGUUAUUAAACCCAGACGCUCAGUCCAGGAGUUGGGGCCAUGCGGAAAAGAUUUACAAUUAAGCCAAUUGAGGCAGAAUACAACCAUCCAAAGUUUGCAGGUGUAAAUAAUGCCUUGCCUUCCCCCCCCAUUCCAAGAGACUUCGUUUCAAUCCCCCUUCCACCCCCCCCCAGUUACUUUGGAGCAUGGGAGUGAUGGUGCAGUAGAGCUAGGAUUUUUCUAUUAGACAAUUAAAAUAUGAUGUUGCACUCACUUCAAUGUCCGUGUAUUAAUGCCAUGGACAACCAGGACAGGCUUCUCUAUUUCAUUUCUCCAUCUAAACUGAGAAUUGUUGGAGUCACUUAAAACCUUUUCAGUGUAGGUUAUGAAUUCUCUCUUUUUUUUAAGGGAGUGGGACAGAUUUCUAUUUAUCAGGGAUAUUGGAGUUUUUUAGUUAUAGAGAUUGAGGGAGGAAGGGAUCAGAAAAAAAAAAAAAAAAAA